CUGCACUGUAACAUAGUGCCAGGGAGUAAGAGGAAGAUAUAGUUUUAUAGAGCAAGAGCAAGAUACAUUCGUCACAGAGGAUGAAGGUUGAGGGCACCAAUUCCAAUCACGCAUGAUUUGGACCAAGACGUAGAAGACAAAAUAACAGAAGUUACU
This is a long non-coding RNA of Lemur catta (Ring-tailed lemur), 156 nucleotides long. RefSeq lists it as uncharacterized. The record is from RefSeq and is a predicted model, not a curated record. NCBI's taxonomy places the organism in Eukaryota, Metazoa, Chordata, Mammalia, Primates, Lemuridae. The transcript has 3 exons.